AUUGCUUCUCGGCCUUUUGGCUAAGAUCAAGUGUAGAAUUUUCCUUCCUGAGAGGAAGAGAUCGUCCAUCCCAGGGUGAUGUCAUUAAGAACGUACCUUUCCAGUUUGUUUGUGUCUUCUGCUCCAGAUCAUCCCUGAGCCACGUGGACAUUGCUUUUGAACUUGCUGAAUGCCAACAUCAGAAAGCUGCUCUCU
Camelus dromedarius (Arabian camel) is the source of this 195-nucleotide small nuclear RNA. Its record names the gene U2. It matches the Rfam family "U2 spliceosomal RNA". From Rfam's summary of the family: U2 is a small nuclear RNA (snRNA) component of the spliceosome (involved in pre-mRNA splicing). Complementary binding between U2 snRNA (in an area lying towards the 5' end but 3' to hairpin I) and the branchpoint sequence (BPS) of the intron results the bulging out of an unpaired adenosine, on the BPS, which initiates a nucleophilic attack at the intronic 5' splice site, thus starting the first of two transesterification reactions that mediate splicing. The record is from Ensembl. NCBI's taxonomy places the organism in Eukaryota, Metazoa, Chordata, Mammalia, Artiodactyla, Camelidae.